RNAcentral lists this ribosomal RNA (493 nucleotides) under uncultured bacterium. RNAcentral's name for it is "bacterial SSU rRNA". It matches the Rfam family "Bacterial small subunit ribosomal RNA", at positions 15 to 507 of the family's 1533-position model. The record is from RNAcentral.
GAUCCUGGCUCAGGAUGAACGCUAGCGGGAGGCCUAAUACAUGCAAGUCGAGCGGUAGAGUGACUUCGGUUGCUUGAGAGCGGCGAACGGGUGAGUAACGCGUACACAAUCUACCUUUAAGAGGGGAAUAGCCCUGGGAAACUGGGAUUAAUGCCCCAUGGCAUCACGAGACGGCAUCGUUUUGUGAUUAAAGCUGAGGUGCUUAGAGAUGAGUGUGCGUCUGAUUAGCUAGUUGGUGCGGUAACGGCGCACCAAGGCGACGAUCAGUAGGGGGCGUGAGAGCGUGGACCCCCACACGGGUACUGAGACACGGAUCCGACUCCUACGGGAGGCAGCAGUAAGGAAUAUUGGUCAAUGGAGGAAACUCUGAACCAGCCAUCCCGCGUGCAGGAAGAAUGCCCUAUGGGUUGUAAACUGCUUUUAUCUGGGAAGAAAAGUCGGGAUUUAUCCUGAUCUGACGGUACCAGAGGAAUAAGCACCGGCUAACUCCGUG